RNAcentral lists this ribosomal RNA (704 nucleotides) under uncultured bacterium. RNAcentral describes it as "bacterial SSU rRNA". It matches the Rfam family "Bacterial small subunit ribosomal RNA", at positions 99 to 787 of the family's 1533-position model. The record is from RNAcentral.
CGAACGGGUGAGUAACGCGUAGAUGAUCUACCUUUUGGUUGGGGAUAGCUUCAUGGAAACAUGGGGUAAUACCCGAAUAAGAUCCUUAUUGCUUUGGCGAUUGGAUGAAAGGGGCUUCGGCCUCGCCGAGAAGAUGAGUCUGCAUAUGAUUAGCUAGUUGGUGUGGUAAAGGCGCACCAAGGCGACGAUCAUUAGCCGGCCUGAGAGGGUGACCGGCCCACAUUGGGACUGAGACACGGCCCAGACUCCUACGGGAGGCAGCAGCUAAGAAUCUUCCGCAAUGGGCGAAAGCCUGACGGAGCGACGCCGCGUGGGUGAAGAAGGCGGAGACGUUGUAAAGCCCUUUUCUCACAGAAGAAUAAGUUUCAGAGGUAAUGCUGGAGCGAUGACGUUAUGUGAGGAAUAAGCACCGGCCAAUUACGUGCCAGCAGCCGCGGUAACACGUAAGGUGCGAGCGUUGUUCGGAAUUAUUGGGCGUAGAGGGCUCGUAGGCGGCCUACCAAGUCUCACGUGAAAGACCAGGGCUCAACCCUGGGAACGCGAGAGAAACUGGUAAGCUGGAAUCUUGGAGGGGGUACUGGAAUUCCUGGUGUAGGGGUGAAAUCUGUUGAUAUCAGGAAGAACACCGGAGGCGAAGGCGAGUACCUGGCCAAAGAUUGACGCUGAUGAGCGAAAGCGUAGGGAGCGAACAGGAUUAGAUACCC